This 2195-nucleotide long non-coding RNA is filed under the name Marmota monax (woodchuck). The record is from RNAcentral. Lineage: Eukaryota; Metazoa; Chordata; Mammalia; Rodentia; Sciuridae.
CUCCGCGCGCAGACGCCGGACGCCAGGACGCGCCGUCCCGGCCGGCCCGUGCUCCGAGCCUCCCUCCUGGAUUCCAGAAGGAUGCCGGGUUCCGCUCCUCACCCACGCCUCGGCCCCGCCCAGGACCGACCUGCUGGGCAGGGCUCCGCCUCCCUCCUUGGUACAGUGUCCUGGCCUCUGUCGGGACUUUGUCCAGCAGCCCCAUCGUCAUCGCCAUCACCCUGCUUCAGGUCACCAUCCACCUUUCCCUUUCCUGGGCGGGCAGAGGGGCAGGCACUGCUUUCGCCUUCCGAGUGGUCCUCUUUCCUUUGCCGGUCUGUCCUUACAGUUUGUCCACUACCAAGCAGCCAGAAUUCUUAUUUCAGAUCAGGUCACUCCUGCAUAAUAACCUUCAACGGCUUCCCAGUUCACUUAGUCUGGAAUCUAAACUCUCAAUGGCCUGUGAAGCCAGAAUGGCUUACCUCUCCAACUUGGGUACCUGUGCUCUCCUCCUCACCUGUCUCCUCCUAGUCACGCUGACUUUCUUAAGCUUCACAGAACAUACAAGAUAAUUUCUGCCUCAGGGACUUUGCACUUGCUUUAUCCUCCUCCUGGAGGUCUCUGCUAGAUCUUUUUUUUUUUAACCUUUAUUUUACUUAUUUAUUUUUAUGUGGUGCUGAGGAUCCCAGCGCCUUGCUAGGGAAGCGCUGUACCGCUGAGCCACAAUCCCAACCCCCCUCUUCUAGAUCUUUAGUGGCUGAGCUUCUCACUCAGAUCUCAAUUCAAAUGUCUCUCCAGAAAGUCCUUUCCUGAUCCAUCCUUCUCUCUUCCUCUUAUCUGGAGAGGGCUUCCUCAUAAGUUUCCAUGCCAUUUCACAUUUUCCCUAGGACCCAUCCCAACAGAAAAUUAUCUUGCUCAGUUUUCUUUUUUAUAGUUAAUGUUGUAGAUAACUUUCUGCAUAGCAAAACAUCCCAAGCUUAGUGGUUUAUAGAGCUGAUACUUAUGAAUCUGAUUACCCAGGAAUUUGGACUGAACAUGAUGGGGAUGCCUUAUCUCUGUGCUGUAAUGUCUGGGACUUCAGCUAGACACAUACACCUAUCUAUAUGACCUGGGCUUCCUUACAGGGUGCAGUCUCCAGGUACUUGGACUUCCAGAGACAUGUCUUAACAAGAUAGAGACCUCAUCACCUUUUGUUACCUAGCCUCAGAAGGCAUGAAGAAUCACAUCUGCUGCACUGCUGGUUUACAAGUAAGACCCAAGACUUCCCAGAUUGAAAGAAAGGGGCAUUAGAUACCAGCUUUUGCUGGGAAUGAGGCAAAACCUAGAACAUGCAGCUAGCUGUCUUUGUAAAAUAUCAUCUCCACAAUCUUCCCCCACUGGAAUAUCAUCUCCAUGAAGCACCAUCAUAUUCCCUUUGCCUAAAAUGCUGCCAAAGCACAUUGUGAGUAUUUAAUUUUAGAGUGAAUAAAGGUUUGUCUUUCAAGGAAGCAUUGGAACCCAGCUCUUCUCCCUGUGUUUCCUGCACCAGCCUUUAACUUUGGCCUAGUCCGCUCUGGAGGAAGCCUGGCAUUUGUAUUAUAAGGUAGGAGUCAAGUAUAGGGGUUUUGUGGGGGAGAUAUAGGUCUACAGUUAUUGGGGAUUGAGAAAUAUGUGGCCAAAUGAGACUUGGAGGUGGUUUUCUACUCAAAGGGAUGUUGAAACCCCAGUCCGCUUUUUCCCAUUCUGAACUCUGGAAAUGCCCAGAUGAGGCAGUUUGUCCUCUAGGCUGUGAGAGCAGGAAAGCGAGUGGCCCAAGGUAAUGGAGCUUUGGGGAGGUGCACCAGGCAGUAGGGAGGGGCGAGAUGCCUAUUAGAAGCAACUGCAGUGACCUAGGCAAAAGGCAGCCUGAAGCUGCCCAUAAGCCUAAGAUUCUCAAAUUCUCCCUGCUUUGUUUCUCAUGAAGGGUGUUCCAUUGGAUCAUCUCAAAGUCCUUGAGCACUUAAUAGUUUCUCCUCCCCUCUUCCUUUUUUCCCUGAGGGGCAGCAGCAUCUGCCAUUCACCCCAAGCCAGAGAAGACCGCCCAAAGCUUCUCCAGGCCCAGCCCUCUCAUAUCAGUAGGGGGGCAGCCGGCUGGGGUUGUAUCUCAGCGGUACCUAGCAUGUAGGAGGCCCUGGGUUUGAUCCUCAGCACCACGUAAAAAUGAAAUAAAUAAAUAAAAUAAAGGAAUUGUGUCCAAU